CAAUAGCGUAUAUUAAAGUUGUUGCAGUUAAAAGCUCGUAGUUGGAUUUCUGGCCGAGUGUCCCCAGGCCAGCAUGACGUUUGGUCCUGGGCGCUCUGCCAUCCUUCUGUCAACCUUCGCCUCGUUCAUUCGUGGCGCUGGGGCGUCAGAUAUUUUACCUUUGAGAAAAUUAAGAGUGUUUCAGGCAGGCUUUCGCCGGAAUACAUUAGCAUGGAAUAAUGGAAAGGAACUUCAACCUCUUCUGUUGGUCUGAGAGGCUGUAGUAAUGAUUAAUAGGGAUAGUUGGGGGCGAUUAGUACUUAACUGUCAGAGGUGAAAUUCUCCGAUUUGUUAAAGACUAACUUAUGCGAAAG
Molecule: ribosomal RNA, 353 nt
Filed under: uncultured eukaryote
Lineage: Eukaryota
Description: SSU rRNA
Rfam family: Eukaryotic small subunit ribosomal RNA
Source: RNAcentral